Molecule: transfer RNA, 73 nt
Filed under: bacterium
Lineage: Bacteria
Also listed under: 2 other names
Description: tRNA-Thr
Rfam family: tRNA
About the family: Transfer RNA (tRNA) molecules are approximately 80 nucleotides in length. Their secondary structure includes four short double-helical elements and three loops (D, anti-codon, and T loops).
Source: RNAcentral
GCCAGCAUAGCUCAGUCGGUAGAGCAGCUCACUCGUAAUGAGCAGGUCAACGGUUCGAAUCCGUUUGCUGGCU